This 189-nucleotide ribosomal RNA is filed under the name [Borrelia] lusitaniae. RNAcentral's name for it is "Borreliella lusitaniae 5S-23S ribosomal RNA intergenic spacer". Lineage: Bacteria; Pseudomonadati; Spirochaetota; Spirochaetia; Spirochaetales; Borreliaceae. The record is from RNAcentral.
GGGUUUUUUAUUUUGUACUUCAAAUCUUGAAUUUAUUUUUUAUGUUUUUAAAUGUUUAUUUUUUUAAAUCAAACAUUCAAAAAAAUAUAAAAAAUAAAAUAGAUAUUGACAUGGAUUAAACAAAGAUAUAUAUUAUUCUAUGUUGCAUAAACAAAUUGGCAAAGUAGAGAUGGAAGAUAAAAAUAUGGU